Molecule: small nuclear RNA, 174 nt
Filed under: Oryctolagus cuniculus (rabbit)
Lineage: Eukaryota; Metazoa; Chordata; Mammalia; Lagomorpha; Leporidae
Description: 7SK RNA
Rfam family: 7SK RNA
About the family: 7SK was discovered as an abundant small nuclear RNA in the mid-70s but a possible function has only recently been suggested.
Source: Rfam by way of RNAcentral
GAAUGUGAGGGCCAUCUGGCUGUGCCAUUGAUCAUUAAGGUUGAUUCUGCUGAUCUAGCUGGCUACACAGAUAUUCCCUUCCUCUCUGCUCUAAAGUCAAGGCAUAUCAGUAGCUGUUAAAAUAUCCAAAAAAGCCCUCAAGGGAUAUACAGAAGUCUGUAAAGGACAGUGUUU